Molecule: long non-coding RNA, 635 nt
Organism: Sycon ciliatum
Lineage: Eukaryota; Metazoa; Porifera; Calcarea; Leucosolenida; Sycettidae
Exons: 4
Source: RefSeq, a predicted model, not a curated record
UGGAAAAAGAUCAUGGUUGCAGUUGCUAGACAGACCAGGUACUAUUAGAGCCGCUAAUGGACGACGAGCUAUUUUCCGCUAUCCGGAGCUCGUGCUCAAGCAUUUGAGCCUGAUGGACGAGACUCCUGGGGUAAAGGAUGCAGAGAAUGAGGAGAAAACACUCGUAUGGGCGCACUGAGAAGCGGUGCGUGUGGACACAGGUGUCAAAGAUGGUGCCACCAUCAGCACGUUCUACAACCCGAUAAUCUCAAAGAUCUCACUCAGCUCUGCUCUCCGAGCAUUCUGCUUCCAACACGCCAUGACUUCCCGAAAGAAAAUGUGCUCACGCAUUAGAAGGAGGUGAAAGAUGCACCUGCAGGAGAAUACAUGCUGAAGAGAAGGCAGAAACAUGCCCGGAUCCACCAGAACUAGUGCUGGCAAGUCAACAGAGGCGAGUACUGAUAAUGUUCCAGAUUGUGGUAGGAUCACAUAAGCAAAAUUGACACUGGGAGGCACGACGGUGGGUCAGCUCAUGGCCAGCGUCAAUUCCAGUGGAUAUCACGUGCAUCCAGUUCUAGUACUAUAGUAUGACUGCUACAAAGUAGUGCGGCCCAAAUAGAACUCGGGUCAGGUGCCGAAGAACUGGAGGGGGGGGG